GUACAUGAAACAUGAUGAGUGUGAAUGCAAUACUUUAUCUUCAAAGGAGACUUCCGAUGUUAAUAUUAGAAAUUCUAUCUUAAAAGUUGUAGCUUCUAAUUUUGGAAAGAAAGGGUAGAAGAAAGUUAUGAGGUACAAGGCUCAAGAAUGGUACAUUUCUAAGAAUGCUGAGCUCCAUUUAAAUAUGAUGUCAAAAGUAGUAGUAGACGAUCCAAGUCUAACUGAAGAUGCUUCCAGCUGCACCUUUCGCAGUAAAAAUUUUUUCUAUGUUAGGGCCUUGACAAAUUUUCCAGAAAGAUAUGGAUAUAUGAAUGAAGUUUAAAGCAGUAAACCAACCUCUGCCAUUAUAAUCCAUGGGAUUCCUUCCCUGCCUAAUUGGUAUUGACCCCAUAUGCAGCUGAAAGAGGAAUCAAAUAGUUGAACUUUAUAUAUUAAUAAGCCAAAUACAAGUCACUAGUUAAAAAAUUAAAGAUAAAUGUCCAACAUAUCAAGCAGAGAGGAAAAAACAAAGCAUCAGAAAUUCUGAGUCUUGAGUUUGCCAUUUGGCGUACAUUGAUCAAUGAUUUUGGACUUCAUAUUAAAGGAGAUGAUAUGUGAUAAAACCCUUUUUUGGAACAUAAGUGAUUGGUGAUAAUUUGAAGACUACUUCUUUUACUGAUCCAGUGCUUAAGUUGGUAGUUUUGGUUCUUGUUUCACUAUAUAAUCCCUGGCAUGCAUGCAUGGCUUACCUAUUGUGUUGAAGUACAGAUACAUACUAAUUAAACAAAUGGAUGCAUACAAACUUGUUAGCUCUACAAAGUUACAUGGUUUGAAUUCAUCUCCUCAAACGCAAUGUAAUUAGAACAACAAACCACCCGAUAUGCUAAUGAGUGCCUAAGCAUGAGCCUCCUCGUUCCACCAGUGACAGUCACGCAUGCUUGUUGUAACAGAAGUUUUAGCAAAUGGUUAUAUGCAAAAGAACUGCCAAGCAAAAGCAAAUGUAGCUCAGAACUCUACAGCGUUUUGCACACAUGUAAACUUAAAAACAGCAUAGCGCCCUAGCAGCAACCAAUGUACCAUUUCGUAAUUUUAGUUUCAUUUAAUAUACCUUAGCCAUUAUAGGACCAUAAUUUACCUGCUGAGAUAAAAGUAAUACCUGAGUAACACCAAAGCCAUAAUAAUCCAAAUUUAACAAUAAAAAUGGAAAAUUAACUACUAGUUUCAAACCUGAACUCGAACCCAACCUAAACUCAAAACGACCGAGUCCGAAGCGAUAUGAAUUCAAAACAACCCAACCUGUUCUUAUCCAAACCAAAAAUGACCUGAUCUGAAUCUGAUGUUUCCCACCUUUAACAAUAAUGCAUAAUUAUCUGGAAAUAAUAGUUUCAUUACAUUUUAGAAUGUUACAGGCUCAAUGUCUAACAACAGAACCUAAGCCAAUCCAAAGAGGAGUACUUUGCCUCCUCAAUCGUUAUACGUGGAUACUCACUGAAACAUCCAAGAGAAUCUUAAAUCGUACGCACCAGCCAUCUGAGAGACUUUAGAAUGAAGAAUAGAACUAGGAGUUGAAGUACAUUUGGAAAAGUUUCUGUAGAUAAAAUCAUUCCAAAAUUGCGCAGACUUCAAAUUGCAUGACAAGUAUGAUUUCCUAUUGGAAGAAGCAGAUGUUACUUAUAGAGGCAAGGGCACCAACUGAUUAAAGGAACCACUAAGAUACAUCAUGGAAAUGCCUAUAACACCAUCAUCUGUAGAAUCAACUGUGGUAAGAGCAUGAUGCAGCCAGGCUAUGUACCAUUCUUUGGUGUUAUCUAUGCAAUAUAAGACAUUCAUCAUAUGAUUAACCGUAUCCAAUUUCUUUCAACAAACAAACAAUCAGCUAUCACCUUGCUAAAUCCCUAUAAUAGCCUUUCAACAUCCAGCAAUCACAGACCUUUCAACACCUAAAAAUAUGAUAUCAUGAAUUGAAAGUAGGCAAGGACAAUAAUCACUUAGGUAUAAGAAGCAGAAGCAAUGAUCUGGUCAGAACUCCAAACAUAAUUCUUAUGUGCUAUCUUUGCUAGGGAUAGUAAGUUAUCUAAUUCUAGAUGUUUUUAAAUAUCUUUUCAACUUUAGUUGCCACAUGGCUCAAGAACAAUAAAUAUGGAUUAAAGAAGCUCAGCUGAGGUCAUUAAUACAUGAAGUCUGAGUGAACACCAUUGACUACUAAGUUUCUCUUGAGACAUAAGACAAUACCUCAUUAUUUUCAAGUUUUAAGCAGAAAUCAAGUUUGGGGCCUUCUUGGCAAAAAAAAAUGGACCAUGAGACAUUAAAGGAAUAGCGGAUGAUGAAAACCAAAGGAGCCGAAACUUUCACAAAUACUAUUUCAAGCCAUUCAACAACAUAGAACAACUUUAAAACCCAGAGUCUUCAAGAGAUUGAGUGGUUAGAAAAGGUUUUACAGUUAGCACUCAAUAGUCUUGUAGAAGGUUACAUAUUUCCAACCAAGGAGAUCUGUUCUCUUCCAACUUACUAAUGUGGCUAUAAUUAAUCCAAUACUUUGAAGUAAAAAGUGAGAACUCCACAGCAAAAAGAGCAACUAAAAUUCAGAAUAGUUUUGUCUCUUGCUCCUGCGUCAAUUUAAUAUCUGCAACGAAAAGUAAAAUAACAGAGACCAUGUUGAAAUAGGAUACCAACAAACAGAUACUCCUAUUUGUUCAAGUAGAGGUUCCUAAAAUGCAAUUAACAUUCUUUAAGUUUGAUGCAUAACAUUCCAUGUUUAGUUGUCCCAUUGGUUGGAUACAUCACCAUAAUCACUCUCUGAAAAGUUGAACCAUGACAGAUGCUUAUAUAAGAACUUUACAAGAUUCACAAAAAGAAUAUAGCAAGAACAUGAUGGAGUAAAUAUAAAAUUCAUAGAAGUAGAUAAGUGACAAUACAAAAAAUAGACAAGUUGUAUGGAACAAAUGCAAUUCAGCAGCUUAGGGUGUAAAUUUGCUGUUAAAACACGCACAUUUUCACUUUGUUGCCAAAAUCUGCCUACCUGUGUCGGUGCACUACAAGCCAAUUGGAAAACAGCUUUUCAAGGAUCAUAAAGCUCCC
RNAcentral lists this long non-coding RNA (3057 nucleotides) under Theobroma cacao (cacao). RNAcentral describes it as "long non-coding RNA (TCAC_LNC003207)". Lineage: Eukaryota; Viridiplantae; Streptophyta; Magnoliopsida; Malvales; Malvaceae. The record is from RNAcentral.